GCUACCGAUGAGUGCAAAACAAAAAUAGAAGCAGGCUGGUGCGAAAGCUACUUCCUCAGCAGCAGCAGGAGGAGGAGGAGGAGGGGGUGCCUGGAGUAUUUCUUGCUGAACGUCUGCCUAAUGCCUAUAGAUGCAGAGAACCUUUGUUUAAAAAAAAAAAAAAAAGCCGUACUUUGCGAUGCCUUCGGCUCGGGGCAGGAUGGGUUCUAGCUGAAGACGGAUUCCUGGCACCACUGCCGCUGUCACUCCUCUCUUCCCCCUUCCCCGCCCGCAGCAGACGUGAUACUAAAGUCGCCUGGGCCAGCUGCCCUAAAUAGAAGCUGCCGGCAUGGAGCAAGCGACGGCGGCCCAGGCCUUGGAGCAGGUGUGAUGGAGGAAAUAGAGCCAUGCAAGUGGUGCCAUCAUUGAAUAAUGGCCUCGGGCAUCAGGAAGAAACAGACCCCGCCUCAUCUCUGGACAUGGAGGAAUCUGCUUUGAAAGCCAAUGUUGUUGUACAGAAAGCCAAGGAUUUGACUGCCAGUGACAAAGAAGUGAAUUUGAUAAUGACAAAUGUAGCGGCAGAUGGCAAAACUGAGAGGCGGGAUCCAGGACCAACUGUGUUUGAUGCUGAGACUGCAACACACAUUGGCAAGGUGACAGCUGCAGAUGCCAUUGCUGUUGAAUUGGAUUUCAAGUCAACCCAUUCAGAGACCAAAGAGUUGGACAGAACUCAUAGCAACAGUGGAGCAGGCCAUGACAUGAUGUCCCAAGGUAGGAUUAAGGAUUGGAGUACCACAGAAAGCACACGGAUUUCAGAAGAUACAGGUCAGUUUAACAAAGGCACAGUCCUGGGUCCCAGCACAGGAGUAACAUCAGAGGACACAAAGCUUGAACAGGGCAAACAGGAAGAUGAUGAUGAUGUCAUUUCCCUUGACUGUGAAAUUCUUGGGUUUGGUCCUGAUGUUGAGUUCCUGGGCCCAGAUGCUGAAAUCUAUAUGCAGUUCAUGCGGAGUCAUCGCUGUUAUGAUGCUAUUCCCACCAGUUCCAAACUGGUCGUGUUUGAGACCACUCUGCAGAUUAAAAAGGCGUUCUUGGCCCUGGUGGCUAAUGGGGUGCGAGCCGCUCCUCUUUGGGACAGCAAGCAGCAGUGCUUUGUGGGUAUGCUGACCAUCACUGAUUUUAUUAAUAUCUUACAUCGCUAUUAUCGAUCUCCUCUGGUCCAGAUAUACGAGAUUGAGGGACACAAAAUUGAAACUUGGAGAGAGGUGUAUUUGCAAGGUUGCUUCAAGCCUUUGGUGCACAUUUCUCCAAACCACAGCCUCUUUGAUGCAGUUUAUUCCUUGAUUAAGAAUAAGAUCCACCGGCUACCUGUGAUUGAUCCCAUCUCGGGGAAUGUCCUACACAUCCUGACUCACAAGCGAAUCCUCAAAUUUCUGCAUAUCUUUGGAGCCAUGCUUCCAAAGCCACGCUUCCUGCAGAAAACCAUCCAGGAGCUGGGCAUUGGUACCUUUCGUGACAUUGCAAUAGUGAUAGACUCAGCUCCUGUCUACACAGCUCUGGAGAUUUUUGUGGACCGCAGAGUCUCGGCGCUGCCUGUGGUUAAUGAAAAAGGAACGGUAGUUGGACUCUAUUCGCGCUUUGAUGUAAUUCAUUUGGCUGCCCAGAAGUCUUACAACAACUUGGACAUUAGUGUGGGGGAAGCCCUGAAACAGCGCUCGGUCUGCCUAGAAGGGGUCCUUACAUGCUAUCCCUAUGAAACUCUCGAAGAAAUCAUUGAUCGCAUUGUCAAAGAGCAGGUCCAUCGCCUGGUUCUGGUGGAUAAGAAGAACACUCCACGGGGGAUCGUGUCCCUCUCUGACAUUCUCCAAGCCUUGGUGCUCACACCCGCAGGUAUCGAUGCCCUAAACUCUUAGCUGGUCGACGCUCCAUCCUUCUUCCAUUUGUACCCUCCAUUUCCUCCACUUCUCUCCAGCUCAGUAACAGAGGAAAUUACAGCUAGGAAAAGAAGCCAUGAAACCUUCCAACUUCUUCCUGGAAAUUCCCACUAAUGCUUGGUGCAGAAGUUCCCACUAAUGCUUGUAUUGCAUAGCUCUGGACAAUCUUGGCUGCCUCUUACUUGUGAAGCAGUGGUCCCCACAGGAAACAUUAAAAAAGAACGCCUAAUUCUUUUAAGAAAUUUGCAUCAUUUUAGCUGCAAGGGUUAUCAUGAGAAUUUGGCCAUGUGGAUAUAUAUAUAUAUAAGCUGCCCCACCAGAAAACCAUUUUUUGCCUUGUUCCACUGUGCUUGAUUUUGAAUGAGCCUGACUGAGCCUUUGACUUGGAUUUCUUGCUGCUGCCACCAAUCCAAAGCUAGCGAUAUUUGUGCCUAUCUGCAUUUGUGUGCUCAGCUGGCUGGCAUAGAUUUGAAUACACAAUUUGUCUAUUAGUAACAAUUCAGCUGGCAAUUCCCAAUAUGUUCUUCUACUUUCCCAAAUGUCAAAACUUCUAGACCUAGAGAUGAGGGCAGUUUUUAUGGAUUUCUCUAGGAAUAUGCAUUCUUUCUCUUUUUUUAAAAAAAAUAAUUUUUGUUUAGUUUACAAUUUUUAUUAGUUGAUAAUAGAAAAUACAAAAAUACAAAUGCAUACUUUCUCAAGUACAAGGAAAAAGCAUGGAUAAUGCUGCUUAAGCAUAAUCCUUUCUUUAUAAACAUCCUUAUUUGAAAAUGUCCUUAUUAAGCUUUCAUUCUGUAUUCCAACACAAUGCUCAAAAGAGAGGUAAAAUUAGGAAGGCUGUAGCAAAUGUCUUUCUCAGUCUCCGAGUUCCUCGUGGAUUCACAGUUUAAUGAAGUCAGCAACAGUUAAGUGAUGCAUUUAAUUAAGGCAAAAUCUAGGACUGUAGCCAAUAUUGUUGAUUGGAAACUGUGCUCUGAUUUUGAGUGGACUAGCUGUAAUUAUAGGUGAUUUUAUACUUGCAAGUUGUCACAUUAUACUUGUUUUAUGUUAAUUCUGCUGGAGCACUGUAAUGACAUUAAAGCAGAACAAAGUCAGCUUGCUCAGUUCCACUUCAUUUUUUAAAACCCAAAAUUCCAUCUUUCAGAAUCUGGAAUGAAAGAUAAAUCCCAGAGACCUGUCUAACAAAACCUUAUACUUAAUUUCCUGGAAGUGCUAAUUAAUACUGUAAUAGUGACUUAACUACGUAAACUUUUUAUUUGUUAAUACAAAUAUAUUUUAUUUAUUCUAAAUAAAUAAAUAAAUGUAGGUACUAUAAACUAACGUGUGAAGGAAAAAAAAAUUGCCUUGCUGCAACUGUUAGUCAGAAACUCUUGCCAGUCCCCUGCAAAUCAUCCAAUAACCUAUAAAUACUUCUCCCAAUCUUCCUUCGAUCUGCUCCUGCUUUACUAUAAACUAGCAAUUCAUAAUAAGUAGACCAGAUCAGGAAUUGAACUCUGCAGAAAAACCAGCACUGUAUUUUAUUGAGAUUGACUGUAAUUAAAAGAAUCUUGCAAGCCUGCUUGUAUUUUAUUGCCUCUUACCUACUUAAUUAGGCCUAUCCAAGCCUCUUCCAAAUUCAAUCUUGCUUCUCAGGACUUAAGAAAUGUUUCAGCCCUCUUUGCUUACACAAAAGUUAUUGCCUAUUUCCCUUGAGGGCAUCUUCCUGAAUCCUGACUCUGUACACCCUGUAAUCAUUGUUUGCUCUUAGUGUAUUGCUUUUAGUAUAUCAAAAUCCAAGGUCAUUAUCCUCCUGUGACUUUAGUCUCAAAAAAGUACUUCCUAAUGAGCGGAUCAGCAAAGCAGAUUAUUUUUAAAUGCGGGGGCAUAUAUGUACUUGAAGAUACCAUUGUAAUAUCCUGGCCUGCAUUCUCCCUCAGAAUUGUACUUCUCAGAAAAACCAGGUAGGGUCUGUCCGGUGGGAUAUACUCCUUGCACUGUUUCUCAGAAGCUUCAUGUCACUUCAGUAGCCAAAGAGCAGCAAAGGACUGGCUCAUUUCCCACCAGAUAACAUUAAAUUUUAUGAAUUCCAUUCUGCAGGCAUCAACCGCUAUUCCCUCUGACAGUGUGCAGGACUACUUGCUCCUUGAUCUACUGCUACUGCAUCUUUGGUUCGUGGGGGCCAGGAAGAGAAGCUCUAACAGCGAUGAAGAAGACCUAGCAUCUCAAGAGCCAACACUGGAGCCCUGACUGCCAGUUCCUUCCUCUCAGUGAACCAAGAAAGUUGAGAGGAGACCUGAGGGAGGACAAACGUUCUAACCUCAGAAUUGCUAAUGGAGAUGUCCCUUCUUCGUCCCAUAAACUAAUAUAAGGAACCAGUCUGCUACAAAGGGGGGCCGGAAGGAGAGGUGUGCGUCUUGAACAAUGCGUCCAUUGCUUGCCUCCUCUUCUUGGCCUCACUUACUGGAAGAGAUUGUAUUUGAAAAUUCAACGUGCUUCAGGGCCUCUUUUGCUUCUGCUGGAAAAAAAAUUACUAGAGGCAAUGGCUACUGCCUUAGGAUAAAGCCUAAUCCAAAAGGUUCUCUAAAGACAGAUUCCACACCUUGAAAAGGACUAGGUUGAGCUGCUUUAGAAAAACAUGCAGGCUUUUUUUCUUAGUUCUUAAAAUAGGCUCAUGUCUUUGCUUUAUUACAUUGCACUUGCAAGGCACAAGACAUGCCUAGGAUAAUUAUUGUGAGGUAGACAGGGCCCUUAAGUUUGUACACUUUUAGGCACUUAUUCAAUGCAUUUUGCCCCAUUCUAAAACAUAAUAGUGUCUUAUCAACAGGAGAGAUGGUUUUACUGCCAGCGAUUCAUCUUUCCUCUUUAAGCCUGCAGUAUAAAUCAAAGCUUUGUUUUUGUGCAACUGUAGCACACGGUAAGAAAGGUUGUGCCAGGUUGGACACAACUUAAUGUGAGAGAACUUCCCUCCAGGUCGGAAUACAAUUUUUGCUCUUAUUGCUAUCACAUUUGGGGAAAUAAAUCUUUCACAGUGCUACCCCUUUUAUAUAGGAUUAUAUUUCCAUUUUCCAGCAAGUGGUGCUUGGUUAUUUAAGCAAGGACUAAUGGCUGCCUACCUGGAAUGCUACUACAGGAGAUUGACCUUAGAUAUAGUAGGUAGUCCUCGACUUAUGACUGUAAUGGAGCCUGCCAAUUACUGUUGUGAAUCAUGAUUGUAAAGCAGGUCAUGACGUGACCAACUUGAUUUUAGAGUUUUGUCCUUGCACUGUCCAUUAAGCAAAUGCCAUGGUCAUUGAGUAAGCUCAUGGUUCACUAUGAUGCAUUUUUGCCGAAAAUCGGAACUAAAUGCUGGUUUUUGGCAAAAAUAUCAUAAAUUGUAGGCAUGUGACUGCAGGACACUGCAAAUGCCCAUAAAUAUGGGCCACUUUCCAAGUGUCCAAAAUGCAGUCGUGUGAUCAUGGGAGGGCAGUCAUCAGAACUUCAGAACCGGGUUGUAAGUAACUCUGGGGAAGUCUGUUGUAACUUCAGUCACUAUGUGACCAGUUGCAAGUCAACGACUACCUUUACUCCUGAAGGACCCUUUUAAAUCUUCUACAAUUUAAGACUCAAUAUUGUCCUAAUCCACUCCUUGUCCUAAACCAUGUUGACUUAACCACUGCUUAUUUCAUAAACCACUGUGGGGCAACACCAAGAAGUCUAAAUCUUAUUGCUGGAGAUGUGAACUCUGCACAGAGGCACUCUUCAAGCAUAUGAGGAGCAGGACUAAACAGCCCUUAAAGCAUUUAGAUGAGAAAACUUUCUGGCUAGUAAAAGCCUAUACGACAUAAAGGUGUGGAGUCUAGUUAUCAGUUCAACACCACUGCUAAGGCAAAUUUGGAUCGGCCCUACUCCUAUGGAGAGAGUUGAGCAUGCAGUGAGUGACAGUAGCAACACUCAGGAGUUGUCUAAAGAAUAUAUAAACUAUAUUCUUAUAUAUAUAUUACUUAUAUAUUACUUUAAUCUCCUGGGCAGGUAUGUACCUGCAUGACUUCCAAAAGCCUUUCUUUAAAAGGGAAUAAUCUACAAAUAAUCCAUAACUGAAGAAUGGUUUCAGUGAACACUUUUUGAGUUCUCCAGACUUCUCUUUGCAUCAUUUGGGGCAAUAGCAGAAAAGCCCCCAUAUUAAGCUAACAGCUGUAGUCAUGAGAUUUGAAAUUAGUGGCUUUAUCUUAGUGCCAUACAGUACCUCAUAUUAAUGCCUCAUUCAAGAUUGACAUCCUUUAUUCUCUUUGCUAGCCUGAAGGAUGUGCAUUUAAUCCGAGGCAAAAUUCAAUUUGAAGGUCCUGUCAGAUUUUAAUUUUCAGAAAUGGCUGCUUUAUCCCAUUGUACAUAAGGUAUCCUCUGCUGUCUUACAAUAAGGUCCCUAAGUCUAGUUUAACUCAGUUCUUGACUGAGUUGAUCCCACAAAAUUUUCUCGUCAACAUUUGCCAUGAUAAUGUUUUUCAAUUUCCUUAUUUGACUUGAAGCCUAGUCAUUUCCUGAUGUCCUCAACUGAGACUUAUGUAAUAAUUGGGGGAUAAUUCUAUUUCAGAUUGUCUUCCUUAUUCCCUGCUUAAAAACAGGAUUAAGAGUACCAGAAAAUCUGAGGACAUAUUAUGCUCUCCAAAGAAAAUACAUUGCCUAACUGUGGAUUUUGAUUUUCUUCCCAGACAUCCCCCGUCAUGCAUGAGCAUUGGCAUUUUUAUUUUUCUACAGUAUAUCCCAUGUAAAGAAAAUCUGCUUAUUCUAAAGAGAGUCAAAGGCUUCCUUUUGUCCAAGAAGUUUAGUUUUCUAGCGCAAAUCUGCAAUAAAACUGAUGUUCCUUUGAAAAA
Non-coding RNA from Pantherophis guttatus, 6736 nucleotides. The record is from RefSeq and is a predicted model, not a curated record. Lineage: Eukaryota; Metazoa; Chordata; Lepidosauria; Squamata; Colubridae.